This is a non-coding RNA of Caenorhabditis elegans, 304 nucleotides long. NCBI's taxonomy places the organism in Eukaryota, Metazoa, Nematoda, Chromadorea, Rhabditida, Rhabditidae. The record is from Ensembl.
AUCUGCUCGAUUUUUUGAAACAAUAGGCGAUAAAAAGCUGGAAAAAGCGUGACCUUUUGCAAAAAAGGAUAUGAAUACCGGUGUGGAUGUAGCUGUUCGUGAAGAAUGGCAGGUGUCUAAACAAACCGGCUGCUGACACAUUGAGAGGCUUUCCGAGUGGCGCUGAAAUCUGAUACUCAACGGCGACCCGCUGUUCGAGAUUGAGGAUGAGUGGGACGAGGUGUUCUGAUUCGAAUUUGAAUGAGAUCGAACCUGUAGAUCAAACAAACAAUGUGUAACCAGUUUAAUAGAAAUUUUUAGGGUA